UGAACGCUGGCGGCAGGCCUAACACAUGCAAGUCGAACGGUAACAGGGAUCAGCUUGCUGAUUCGCUGACGAGUGGCGGACGGGUGAGUAAUGUCUGGGAAACUGCCUGAUGGAGGGGGAUAACUACUGGAAACGGUAGCUAAUACCGCAUAACGUCGCAAGACCAAAGAGGGGGACCUUCGGGCCUCUUGCCAUCGGAUGUGCCCAGAUGGGAUUAGCUAGUAGGUGGGGUAACGGCUCACCUAGGCGACGAUCCCUAGCUGGUCUGAGAGGAUGACCAGCCACACUGGAACUGAGACACGGUCCAGACUCCUACGGGAGGCAGCAGUGGGGAAUAUUGCACAAUGGGCGCAAGCCUGAUGCAGCCAUGCCGCGUGUAUGAAGAAGGCCUUCGGGUUGUAAAGUACUUUCAGCGGGGAGGAAGGGAGUAAAGUUAAUACCUUUGCUCAUUGACGUUACCCGCAGAAGAAGCACCGGCUAACUCCGUG
Molecule: ribosomal RNA, 488 nt
Filed under: uncultured bacterium
Lineage: Bacteria
Description: partial 16S ribosomal RNA
Rfam family: Bacterial small subunit ribosomal RNA
Source: RNAcentral